RNAcentral lists this ribosomal RNA (301 nucleotides) under uncultured bacterium. RNAcentral's name for it is "partial 16S ribosomal RNA". It matches the Rfam family "Bacterial small subunit ribosomal RNA", at positions 509 to 809 of the family's 1533-position model. The record is from RNAcentral.
CAGCAGCCGCGGUAAUACGUAGGGUGCAAGCGUUAAUCGGAAUUACUGGGCGUAAAGCGUGCGCAGGCGGUUAUAUAAGACAGAUGUGAAAUCCCCGGGCUCAACCUGGGAACUGCAUUUGUGACUGUAUAGCUAGAGUACGGCAGAGGGGGAUGGAAUUCCGCGUGUAGCAGUGAAAUGCGUAGAUAUGCGGAGGAACACCGAUGGCGAAGGCAAUCCCCUGGGCCUGUACUGACGCUCAUGCACGAAAGCGUGGGGAGCAAACAGGAUUAGAUACCCCUGUAGUCCCUGUCUCUUAUCC